This is a long non-coding RNA of Amphiprion ocellaris (clown anemonefish), 1917 nucleotides long. The record is from Ensembl. Lineage: Eukaryota; Metazoa; Chordata; Actinopteri; Pomacentridae.
AGAGAAAAUAUCUGAGGUUUAUUUUGUAUAAAAGCGGAGCGUGGAGCCUCCGACUGCUUCACACCAACAUGACUCCUUCAAUCAUUUUACAGCAAAAACAACUUGAGAUGUGGCGUCUGCUGCUGCUCCAACGAUCAGUGGGUUUAAAGGAGCACGCUGCCGUUUCCUCCAAACAUGAACCACCUUCCACUGAUUCAUUCACUAAAACUUCACAACAUGGACCUGCUCUAAAGGUCCGUUUCUACAGCGUCAGGGCUGGAAGUUCAUUCACGUUGUUGAAGCAUUUUAAAGCAAAAAUCCACCUGAACAGCUCCUUCAGCUUUCUGUGAUAAUAAACAAAGACAUUUGACUGAAACAUCAAUCAUUUGUCACAUUUUAAAUCCCAAACAUCCAUCGUUCUAACAGAAAACAGAUGGUUCUACACAUAUUCAUUAGAAAACAAACUAAUCGUCUCUAUCAGACUUUCAAAGUGGUCUUAAAAAUACGCUCACAGAAACUGUCAAAUUAUAUUUCAAUUCUUAACCUGUUUUUAGCAGCAUAAAGUUUUCAUUUGUUCCUUUGCUGAAACAUUUGUUUUGUCUCUUCAAAGAUCAUUUACAGCAAAACUUCUCCAUAAAUAUGAUUAAAUAAUGAGCCUGACAGAGGACUGACCGCUAACGGCCGACAGCAGCGUGUCCCUGUAAACCACAGACGACAGCAGGAAGGGUUAAGACUUCAUCGGACAGCAAUCAAUAACUAAUAAUCAAUAACUGAUCAGCUUCAUCGACACUGAAUAAGUAAACAAACAAACAGUGAUGUACUGCAGAGAGGUUGGCUUACAGUCGAACAGAAACCAGUUCAAACGCCACAGGAACGAGUGUGUUUAUGUCUGUGUUUGUGGGGACACGACCGCCGUGUUGGAACAUGACCGCAGUGUGGGGAUAUGACCGCUGUGUGGGGACACGACAACUUCUGGGAGACGACCGCCGUGUGGGGACACGACCAACUUGUGGGAGACGACAGCCGUGUGGGGACACGACCGCCGUGUGGGGACACGACCAACUUGUUGGAGACGACCGCCGUGUGGGGACACGACCAACUUGUGGGAGAUGACCGCCGUGUGGGGACACGACCCCCGUGUGGGGACACGACCGCCGUGUGGGGACACGACCAACUUGUUGGAGACGACCGCCGUGUGGGGACACGACCAACUUGUUGGAGACGACCGCCGUGUGGGGACACGACCAACUUGUUGGAGACGACCGCCGUGUGGGGACACGACCGCCGUGUGGGGACACGACUGCCGUGUCGGGACACAACCAACUUGUGGGAGACGACCGCCGUGUGGGGACACGACUGCAAUGUGGGGACACGACAGCCAUGUAAGGACACGACCGCAGUGUGGAGACACGACCGCCGUGUGGGGACACGACCGCAGUGUGGGGACACGACCGCAGUGUGGGGACACAACCGCAAUGUGGGGAUGCAAUCGCUGUGUCAGGACACGACAGCUGUGUAAGGACACGACAGACGUGUGGGGACAUGAUCACAAUGUGGGGACAUGACCGCAAUGUUGGGACACGACUGUAUUGUGGGGACACGACCACUGCGUGGGGACACAGCUGCAAUGUGGGGACACGACCGCCAUGUGGGGACACGGCUGCAAUGUGGGGACAUGAACAGACUUGGUUCCAGGGUUCAGGUUGGAAUCAGGUUGAAGUCACUGAGGUUCCUAACAAACACAGACAGACCAGUGUGUGUGUGUGUGUGUGUGUGUGUGUGUGUGUGUGUGUGUGUGUGUGUGUGUGUGUGUGUAUGUGUGUGAUGGGCGGGGCCAUGAAGGCAACGUGCCCCGCCCUUUCCAUGCGACAGGCUCAGCUCCGAGGUCAGAGGUCAUCACAUGCCCUGCCUGAUGCUCUGGAUGAUCUGGAAGAUGGC